Molecule: ribosomal RNA, 490 nt
Filed under: uncultured bacterium
Lineage: Bacteria
Description: partial 16S ribosomal RNA
Rfam family: Bacterial small subunit ribosomal RNA
Source: RNAcentral
AGUGAACGCUGGCGGUAGGCCUAACACAUGCAAGUCGAACGGCAGCACAGGAGAGCUUGCUCUCUAGGUGGCGAGUGGCGGACGGGUGAGGAAUACAUCGGAAUCUGCCCAGUCGUGGGGGAUAACGUAGGGAAACUUACGUUAAUACCGCAUACGACCUUCGGGUGAAAGAGGGGGAUCGCAAGACCUCUCGCGAUUGGAUGAGCCGAUGUCGGAUUAGCUAGUUAGCGGGGUAAUGGCCCACCAAGGCGACGAUCCGUAGCUGGUCUGAGAGGAUGACCAGCCACACUGGAACUGAGACACGGUCCAGACUCCUACGGGAGGCAGCAGUGGGGAAUAUUGGACAAUGGGCGCAAGCCUGAUCCAGCCAUACCGCGUGGGUGAAGAAGGCCUUCGGGUUGUAAAGCCCUUUUGUUGGGAAAGAAAUCUUUCAGGCUAAUACCCUGGGAGGAUGACGGUACCCAAAGAAUAAGCACCGGCUAACUUCGUG